This 383-nucleotide unclassified non-coding RNA is filed under the name uncultured bacterium. Its description in RNAcentral is "contains 16S-23S intergenic spacer region". The record is from RNAcentral.
UCCUGGUUUCCCAGGCAGUCCCAUCAGAGUGCCUCCUUACGGAGUAGCAACUGAUAGCAAGAGUUGCGCUCGUUAAAGGACUUAACCCAACAUCUCACGACACGAGCUGACGACAGCCAUGCAGCACCUGUAUACUCGUCCAAGCUUUCGCUUGGAAGGCUCUAUCUCUAGAGCGGUCAGGCAUAUGUCAAGCCCAGGUAAGGUUCCUCGCGUAGUAUCGAAUUAAACCACAUGUUCCACCGCUUGUGCGGACCCCCGUCAAUUCCUUUGAGUUUUAGUCUUGCGACCGUAAUCCCCAGGCGGAUCACUUAACGCGUUAGCUACGACACUAAUCGUGCAAGCACGACUAACGUCCAGUGAUCAUCGUUUACAGCGCGGACUAC